UGGGGAAUAUUGGACAAUGGGCGAAAGCCUGAUCCAGCCAUGCCGCGUGUGUGAAGAAGGUCUUCGGAUUGUAAAGCACUUUAAGUUGGGAGGAAGGGCAGUAAGCGAAUACCUUGCUGUUUUGACGUUACCGACAGAAUAAGCACCGGCUAACUCUGUGCCAGCAGCCGCGGUAAUACAGAGGGUGCAAGCGUUAAUCGGAAUUACUGGGCGUAAAGCGCGCGUAGGCGGCUAAUUGAGUCGGAUGUGAAAUCCCCGAGCUUAACUUGGGAAUUGCAUUCGAUACUGGUUAGCUGGGGUGUGGGAGAGGAUGGUAGAAUUCCAGGUGUAGCGGUGAACUGCGUAGAGAUCUGGAGGAAUACCGAUGGCGAAGGCAGCCAUCUGGCCUAACACUGACGCUGAGGUACGAAAGCAUGGGGAGCAAACAGG
Molecule: ribosomal RNA, 429 nt
Filed under: Pseudomonadota bacterium
Lineage: Bacteria; Pseudomonadati; Pseudomonadota
Description: Proteobacteria bacterium partial 16S ribosomal RNA
Rfam family: Bacterial small subunit ribosomal RNA
Source: RNAcentral